Molecule: non-coding RNA, 409 nt
Organism: Camelina sativa (false flax)
Lineage: Eukaryota; Viridiplantae; Streptophyta; Magnoliopsida; Brassicales; Brassicaceae
Source: RefSeq, a predicted model, not a curated record
ACUUGUAAAAAGGUAUUCUAGCUUGGAACAUAAGUGUUCGUGAAUAUGUGGUUGUUGACUAUUGCAGUGGACGGGAUCAAUGGCUACUGAAUGAGGAAGACAUUGACAUAUACUCACGCACGUUGCCAAAAUGUAUUGUCCGUAAGCUUGAUGACAAGGGACAGUUUCCCCUUUUGGAGGAUGGCGUAGAUCUGGCUACGAUCAUUAAGUGUACUUCUUUUUAUCGCCGUGGGAAGUCUCAUGAUCACAUUACGGAUUACAUUAUGCCUACCACAUAUGAGUUAAAACAACAAGUAGACGAUCACCGACUGGUAGUGGCUAGUACUUCCCCAGUAAUGCUGUCAACUCUAGAAGACGGAGCGAUUGUAAGGAGCCUCGAAGGAUUACCUUCAGAGGGACCUGUUCUGUA